This 477-nucleotide ribosomal RNA is filed under the name uncultured bacterium. Its description in RNAcentral is "bacterial SSU rRNA". It matches the Rfam family "Bacterial small subunit ribosomal RNA", at positions 32 to 518 of the family's 1533-position model. The record is from RNAcentral.
AAUCAACGCUGGCGGCGUGCCUCAGACAUGCAAGUCGAACGAUUAAACUUGCCUUCGGGCAAGAUAUAAAGUGGCGCACGGGUGAGUAACACGUAAGUAAUCUACCUUCGAGUGGGGAAUAACGUCGGGAAACCGACGCUAAUACCGCAUAAUGCAGCGGCACCUAAUGGUGACAGUUGUUAAAGGAGCAAUUCGCUUGAAGAGGAGCUUGCGGCAGAUUAGCUAGUUGGAAGGUAAUGGCUUACCAAGGCUACGAUCUGUAACCGGUCUAAGAGGACGGUCGGUCACACUGACACUGAAUAACGGGUCAGACUCCUACGGGAGGCAGCAGUCGGGAAUUUUGGGCAAUGGGCGAAAGCCUGACCCAGCAACGCCGCGUGAAGGAUGAAGUAUUUCGGUAUGUAAACUUCGAAAGAAUGGGAAGAAUCAAUGACGGUACCAUUUAUAAGGUCCGGCUAACUACGUGCCAGCCGCCGC